This 495-nucleotide ribosomal RNA is filed under the name uncultured bacterium. Its description in RNAcentral is "partial 16S ribosomal RNA". It matches the Rfam family "Bacterial small subunit ribosomal RNA", at positions 28 to 507 of the family's 1533-position model. The record is from RNAcentral.
GACGAACGCUGGCGGCGUGCCUAAUACAUGCAAGUAGAACGCUGAAGGAGGAGCUUGCUCUUCUGGAUGAGUUGCGAACGGGUGAGUAACGCGUAGGUAACCUGCCUGGUAGCGGGGGAUAACUAUUGGAAACGAUAGCUAAUACCGCAUAAGAGUAGAUGUUGCAUGACAUUUACUUAAAAGGUGCAAUUGCAUCACUACCAGAUGGACCUGCGUUGUAUUAGCUAGUUGGUGGGGUAACGGCUUACCAAGGCGACGAUACAUAGCCGACCUGAGAGGGGGGACGGCCACACUGGGAAUGAGACAGGGCCCAGGCUCAUGCGGGAGGCAGCAGUAGGGAAUGUUCGGCAAUGGUCGGAAGUCUGACCGAGCAACGCCGCGUGAGUGAAGGAGGGUUUCGGAUCGUAAAGCUCUGUUGUAAGAGAAGAACGAGUGGGGGAGUGGAAAGGUCACACUGUGACGGUAUCUUACCAGAAAGGAACGGCUAACUACGUG